AAGGGCAUAGCUCAGUGGCAGAGCACAUGCCUAGCAUGCAUGAGGUCCUGGGUUCAAUCCCCAGCGCCUCCA
Molecule: transfer RNA, 72 nt
Filed under: Camelus dromedarius (Arabian camel)
Lineage: Eukaryota; Metazoa; Chordata; Mammalia; Artiodactyla; Camelidae
Also listed under: 1 other name
Rfam family: tRNA
About the family: Transfer RNA (tRNA) molecules are approximately 80 nucleotides in length. Their secondary structure includes four short double-helical elements and three loops (D, anti-codon, and T loops).
Source: Rfam by way of RNAcentral